GACGAACGCUGGCGGCGUGCCUAAUACAUGCAAGUCGAGCGAGCUUGCCUAGAUGAAUUUGGUGCUUGCACCAAAUGAAACUAGAUACAAGCGAGCGGCGGACGGGUGAGUAACACGUGGGUAACCUGCCCAAGAGACUGGGAUAACACCUGGAAACAGAUGCUAAUACCGGAUAACAACACUAGACGCAUGUCUAGAGUUUAAAAGAUGGUUCUGCUAUCACUCUUGGAUGGACCUGCGGUGCAUUAGCUAGUUGGUAAGGUGACGGCUUACCAAGGCAAUGAUGCAUAGCCGAGUUGAGAGACUGAUCGGCCACAUUGGGACUGAGACACGGCCCAAACUCCUACGGGAGGCAGCAGUAGGGAAUCUUCCACAAUGGACGCAAGUCUGAUGGAGCAACGCCGCGUGAGUGAAGAAGGGUUUCGGCUCGUAAAGCUCUGUUGGUAGUGAAGAAAGAUAGAGGUAGUAACUGGCCUUUAUUUGACGGUAAUUACUUAGAAAGUCACGGCUAACUACGUGCCAGCAGCCGCGGUAAUACGUAGGUGGCAAGCGUUGUCCGGAUUUAUUGGGCGUAAAGCGAGUGCAGGCGAUUCAAUAAGUCUGAUGUGAAAGCCUUCGGCUCAACCGGAGAAUUGCAUCAGAAACUGUUGAACUUGAGUGCAGAAGAGGAGAGUGGAACUCCAUGUGUAGCGGUGGAAUGCGUAGAUAUAUGGAAGAACACCAGUGGCGAAGGCGGCUCUCUGGUCUGCAACUGACGCUGAGGCUCGAAAGCAUGGGUAGCGAACAGG
Molecule: ribosomal RNA, 788 nt
Filed under: uncultured Lactobacillus sp.
Lineage: Bacteria; Bacillati; Bacillota; Bacilli; Lactobacillales; Lactobacillaceae
Description: bacterial SSU rRNA
Rfam family: Bacterial small subunit ribosomal RNA
Source: RNAcentral